This 1342-nucleotide long non-coding RNA is filed under the name Brachypodium distachyon (stiff brome). RNAcentral describes it as "long non-coding RNA (BDIS_LNC005291)". The record is from RNAcentral. Lineage: Eukaryota; Viridiplantae; Streptophyta; Magnoliopsida; Poales; Poaceae.
UACCUCCCUACGGGUAUAUAAGGAUCUAUUGAAUUUCGUGUCAAACUUUGACCAACAAUUAUACAAAUAAUAUUUGUCAUAUGUAAUAUUUGACAUAUGUAUAUAAACUACAUCAUUAGGAAGAACUUUCUAAUAUGAAUCCAACGAUAUCUUUUUUGUGCCAAAAUAGCCCCAUAUUACCAAUGUAAAUUUUGAUCAAAAAAUUCGGCAUAAAAUUUUGUGAGUGCCUUACAAACUCGGGCGGAGGAAGUAUAUGUAUUCUCGCUCUGUUUGUGUUGGCAUGAAAUUAUCAACACGACCAUCCCCUCCUAGAGAUCCUUUUCACCCCUUUAUCAUUGAUAGGGUCCUUUUUCUGUAUUAGCUUGCUAAUUAAUUAUCAGAAGUAGAUACAAAUGUGGCAUCAUAUAAAUUUCUCUAACUUUGGACUGGUUAGCAUUAACAUUCUUACAAAAUAUGUUUACAAAAGUAAGCUGGCAGUUGUUGUAGAACCUAGAGUUCUAUUGGGAACCCCUAAAAACAUCUAUAGAUAAAUCAAUCCAGUAUAACCGCUGCAUUUCCUAGCCAAAGGGCAAACAUGUAAUCUGCCACCCAUCCCAUCUCACCAUCCUAAUCCUCAACCAAUCAAGCAUUCUUCUCUCUCUCUCUCUCUCUCAAAGACAAUUAUCAUCGUCGCUUCAGAAAACCCAAAAAGAAAAUAAAAUAAAAGCAAAAAAGGGAGGGCAAAAAGAAAGAAAAAAACACUUCUUCUCUAGUCCACCUCCUCUUGCGAGCGCAUGACGCAGACAACAACAGGAGCAGCGGCACAAUUUUGCUUCCCCCGCAGCAAUACAGCACAGCUACGAACCCAAAAGGGUAUGAGGGAGUAGCCGAGAGGGAGAGCAAGCAAAGAGGAGCAGCGAGAUACGGGUGGUGAGCGCGCGAGGCGGUAGGAGGAGGAGCAGGGGAAACCCUAGAAUUUGCCAUCCAAUCCCACGGUGGGGUCCGCUAGGUUUGCGCUCAGAUCUGCAUCGGGGCUACCCAGUCGCGGCGGGGAGAUCAAGAGGACGCGCGAGGCUGGUGAGUUGGGUGUUGGGGCCACGGAUUCGGGCCGCGGGUGGUGGAAUGUGGGUGGGUGCAAUGUCGAUUUUAGCUGAUGCUGCUGUUUUUUUCUACUCUUUUAUUUGGUGCGGUUUAGAAGCGUUUGUGCUGUGGCGGUGUUGGUGAUUUGGUUCUUGGCUUUGGUUUUGUCUGUGUGGGUGGGUGGUUUGAUGGGUUGAGAGGUGGAAUCGGUGAGAUUUAUUUGUAAAUUCGCGUCCGAUUUGAUGAUUGUUGCGUUUGUGCUGGUUGAUCCUACUAGCUGCUG